Hydra vulgaris (swiftwater hydra) is the source of this 1815-nucleotide long non-coding RNA. RefSeq lists it as uncharacterized. The record is from RefSeq and is a predicted model, not a curated record. NCBI's taxonomy places the organism in Eukaryota, Metazoa, Cnidaria, Hydrozoa, Anthoathecata, Hydridae.
CAUUAACUUAAAAAAAGUUGAAAAAAGUUGAAAAAUUUUUUUAUGACUUAAAUUCAUCUUUGUUGUUAAAAAAUCUGUAAAAUUAAAGAACUUUUUUUCAUCAGGCAAGGGUGAUUAGUUGUGAAUUAAUUAAGCAUACUUUUUUUUUUGCUCUUAAUUCAUUUGCGUUUUCUUCUUGACCCCAUCAUAUAGGGUAGAGCGGGACCAAUUGAGCAUAAGUGUUUUUAGGAUGAUUAUAAACUUUUUUAUCUUCCAUCAUUUAAGUGUUGAUAUUUUACCAAAAUAUCGGACUUUCGAUUAAAAUUAGCAGUUUUUUUCCUAGUCUUACUUUUUCUCUUUUAAACCUAACUAAUGUGUCACCUUGUCUAGUUGGAGUAAGUUGAACAGCUUUGAAAAAAAAUAAAAAGAACUUAACUAUUAAACAUUAAAAAUCAUCUUGGAUUAGAAAUAAUUUAGCGGAACAUUAUUUAUAUAUAUUUUUAAAAUUAGUAAUUUUUAAAUCGGGCUUUAAAGUUCAAGAUAGCUGUAUUAAAUAAUAUUUUUAUAUUUUAUGACCCAUUCUUAAUAUUUAAUUUUUUCUCUUCUUUUACGUCAUUAAAGUAAACAAAAUAAAAAGUUUAUAAAUUAUAGACACGCUUAUUGUUAGCAAAAGUUUUAUUGAUAAUUCACCCAAGUUUUGUACCAUACAUAUUUAUUUAUUUGGUGAUUGCUCAACUUACCACACACUUUUGCUUAACUUACCCCGCUGGGGCAGGUUGAGCAGUUGCUGAGCUAGCUCCGCUCUAUCCUACUAAAAUUCUUAUUUUUAAUAAGAAUUUUAAUAAUAUUAACAUACAAACGCUCGUUUCAAUUUUUUUGCUCACUCUUAGUUUCAUUAUCAUUUUCUCAUUGUUUUUAUCUUUGAAGUUAUUAAAUUUAAUUUUGGUUUUAUUAAUUUGAUUAUUCAAAAUUUUUCAUCUUAGUAUUAACAUGAAUUUUAAGUAUUAGUAUAUAGGUACCAAGGCAUGUUCCAAGCGUUUUACGGGUCGUGACAGCUAGUUUUAAGUAUUAGUAUAUAGACUACAGAAACUAUUGCAAACGUAAUCAAAUGACGUAUCAAAAUGACGCAAUUAAAUAAACAGUUUAAAUUACUCAAAAUUGUUUCGUUUUUUAUUUAGUUAUGGACUGCUGGAUGUUUUUUAUGCUUCUGUGCUGCUGCCACCUUUUGUUGAUAGCUGUUGUAAUUAUCCUUGUAGUUUUCAAUCUCUUGCUAUUGCUCAAACAAAAGGAGAAUAUAUUAAAAAGCUCUGAAAAUAACUACAAAACAUUAAACAAGUUGUUAAAGAACGGUUGUAUCUCAAAGAUAGCCGAAAGUGAAAUUUCUUCUAAAGUUGAAAGUCAAGGACACGUCUUUCGUAUUGUAGAAAGAAUAAGCGAACUAGAAGAUAUUAUUACAAAACAAAGAAUGAAGAAUAACCGUCGUAAAAGUCUAUGUCAUACAAAACGACAAAGUGUUUGCGAAGAUAGUUUAGUUUUUCGUAGAAAAUCACGAAUUAACUCACCUAGUGAAAGUGAAGAUCAGUUUUGAACACAGUUAGAUAUUGAAAAAAUGAAAGACGAAAAAAAGUUAAAGGUUUAUUGUAUUAUAUUAUGUCAAAUAUGGUGGAAAUUCUUUAUGAAAAAAACUUUUAACAAAAAAAAAACGAAAAAACUAAUACAUUUAUGAACCUUCAAAAGCUAAAAUAAAAAAAAAAAGAUUAUGUAUGUAUAUAUAAAAUGUAAGGUGAAUUUUAUUUAAAAAUAAAAUAUUUAUAGGAUUUAUUAAUAUUUACCAAA